GUCCGCGAGGCCUGUCCGCGACGCGCAUAGCAACAGUCUACCUGCUUCCCUACCAACAACAUUUCAGAAAAGUCGCACGGCGAAAUGGACGAAAAGGAAAGGUGGAGCAGAGAGGGAGAGAAUUAAAAGAGAAAGGCCCUUGCCACAGACGCAGCUAAAUGCUGCAAAAAUAAGUGACAUGUUCGCCAGUAAGGGACCAGGUGGAGAAGGAAGCAGCAGCAGCACUAGAGCUUCAGGUGCUCCUGCUGAACUGGAGAUGGUGGUCAGUUCAGAGUCAGACUCAGAGCAGGAACCUUCAGGUACAACAGCAACCAGAUGUGCAGAGAGAGAGAGAGAGAGGUUCGGAGCCCAGUACAUGGAAAUAUAGAAAGGGACAGUGAAAGCACUGAAAAUACAUUUGAUUAUUUUUCCUGUCCUCAGUCCAAGGAUUUUGACUUAUUUUUUCAGUACCACCCAAAACAAACCCCUCAAAGAGUCAUUCCCAAUGUAUUCCACUCCAAAGAUGUCACAAACAGAAAAUGGCUGACAUUCUAUGAAGUAACUCACUACUUGUUCUGCUCAGUUUGUCUUGCAUUCGCAAAACCUUCAGCCAUUGAUAGUGCAUUUGUCAAAGGAGGCAUGCAGGCCUAGAAACAUGCCCAUCAGAGAGUACAGGAGUUUCUUGAGCUUAUAUUGUUGCUAAGCAUGCAAACUCAGUGUUCGGAUAGGCUACUUGUUGAUCAGUCUCAAAUGUUUGUAUUUUGUCAUGUGGAAUCCUGAAUUAUUGUUUCAGUCCGCCCCUGGUUAACACCAUCUGCUUCACACAACCGACCGAUUCAAAGCGGCAUGUGUGACCCUACUGUGCCUUUGGCCAGCCCAGCAGCGCUGCGUGAUUCUCAGAGGCGUGCGUGUCCUGUUUUCUCAACAUUAUGAACACCUGCUCUUUCCAUGCCAUAGCCUGACCAGGUGAAUGUUGGGGCGGCAAUGUAGCCUGGUUAGAGCGUUGGACUAGAGCGUUGGACUAGUAACCUGAAGGUUGCAAGUUCAAACCCCCGAGCUGACAAGGUACAAAUCUGUCGUUCUGCCACUGAACAGGCAGUUAACCCACUGUUCCUAGGCCGUCAUUGAAAAUAAGAAUUUGUUCUGAACUGACUUGCCUAGUUAAAUAAAGGUAAAAAAAAUACUCCCUUAAAAAAAAUACUCUACUUCAGUGUAGAUGAAGGGGAGGAGACAGGUUGAAGAAGGAUUUUUAAGUCUUGAGUAAAUUGAGAUAUGGAUUGUGUAUGUGUGUCAUGCAGAGGGUGAAUGGGCAAGACAAAAUAUUUAAGUGCCUUUGAACAGGGUAUGGUAGUAGGUGCCAGGCGCACCGGUUUGAAUGUGUCAAGAACUGCAACGCUGCUGGAUUUGUCACGCUCAACAGUUUCCCGUGUGUAUUGUGCACGGCCCUCCACCCAAAUGACAUCCAGACAACUUGACACGACUGUCAAAUUUGUGUAUAUUCCAUAUGUUAACCAAUACUUGAGAAGCGAAUACAGUUUACACGGGUGUGUGUGACGCGUCUCUUCCUCCAUACAGAUCCUAUCGUGUUGACGAUCGCAAGCUACGAUUUUUUGAACUUUCCCCGCUAGUCAGGUUGGCCUAAUGUUGCAUUUCUUGCCUUUUUAAAAAUUAUUUAUGGGGGGCAUUUCAUCAGUACAUUGCAUUUAUGGAAAGCAUGUAUGCAAAGUUAUGUAGCAUUUGAUGCAUGUCAGAUCCACAUGGGCAAAUUAGAUUCAAAUAAUGCAUAAUAAUAACGAUUUUCAUAGCUUUGGGUGUCCAAAAGAUAGAGUUCACAACUUUCUCCAAAUGCAGAUAAAUGUUGGCUUCUAACUAACAUCAAGUAAAUUAGGUACCAGUGUUGUGCCGAAUAUCCCCCUGCCAGAAUCCACCCCCGCCUUCGAAUUUCCUUAAUUUUGUGGCUCGAGUCAAAUACUUUCGGUGACACACAUCAGAGUCAAAUAGUUUCUAUAGAACAAACUUCAUGCCAGAAAAGGCAACCGACAUGAAUCAUUAAUCACGACGCCAGGACAGCGGAGUCAAUCACCACCUUCCGGAGACACCUGAAACCCCACCUCUUUAAGGAAUACCUAGGAUAGGAUAAGUAAUCCUUCUC
Oncorhynchus keta (chum salmon) is the source of this 2131-nucleotide long non-coding RNA. RefSeq lists it as uncharacterized. Lineage: Eukaryota; Metazoa; Chordata; Actinopteri; Salmoniformes; Salmonidae. The transcript has 3 exons. The record is from RefSeq and is a predicted model, not a curated record.